This is a long non-coding RNA of Solanum dulcamara, 631 nucleotides long. RefSeq lists it as uncharacterized. The record is from RefSeq and is a predicted model, not a curated record. The transcript is spliced from 3 exons. Lineage: Eukaryota; Viridiplantae; Streptophyta; Magnoliopsida; Solanales; Solanaceae.
GUGUCCCAACUCCAGAAUGUUCAAGAAAGAGAGAGAAUUCCUCAUCUUCUCCAAAUUUCCUAAACUUUUGAGAAAGAAAGAAUAGAGAGAAGUAACGAGAUAGAGAGGCGGACAAGCUUGAGAGUGAGGGAGAAAUUGAGGGAUUAAGUGUGGUGAUUAUUCAAGGUUAUGGAAGCAAGGAUGGAUCCAUUAGAGAAGCAAAAAAAACAUUUUUGACCAAGCCCUCAAAUUUUCAAGCAAAUUGUUUCAUAAAAGCCUAAGGUAUGAGGCAGCAUAUACAUGUUGUGUGUGGAUAAACACUAAAGGUACCAAAGUUUGAUUUGCUGAUCCGCUGGUUUAGGACAUCUGCUGUGUUAUUGAUAGUGCUCCCUUGUUCGGAGCUUGUAUUUUGGUACUGACUUUAUCUCUGUAUAUUUGAAUAUGUUGGUCAGGGGUACGACGAGGCCCUGUCCUGUCAUAUGACUAUGCUAUCAUCUGUAGAGGUCUGUAGACAGAGUUAUGUUGUGGGUUUUGUAUAUAUGGUUUGGGUUUUGUGUAUUUUGUGACGGUCUAUCAACCCUCGUGCCUAUAUCUACUUUUAUGAUAUAUUUAAUAAUUUCUUCUAAUCACUACAUAUGUUUAUUCGAUUAAA